AUUGAACGCUGGCGGCAGGCCUAACACAUGCAAGUCGAACGGUAACAGGAAGCAGCUUGCUGCUUUGCUGACGAGUGGCGGACGGGUGAGUAAUGUCUGGGAAACUGCCUGAUGGAGGGGGAUAACUACUGGAAACGGUAGCUAAUACCGCAUAACGUCGCAAGACCAAAGAGGGGGACCUUAGGGCCUCUUGCCAUCGGAUGUGCCCAGAUGGGAUUAGCUAGUAGGUGGGGUAACGGCUCACCUAGGCGACGAUCCCUAGCUGGUCUGAGAGGAUGACCAGCCACACUGGAACUGAGACACGGUCCAGACUCCUACGGGAGGCAGCAGUGGGGAAUAUUGCACAAUGGGCGCAAGCCUGAUGCAGCCAUGCCGCGUGUAUGAAGAAGGCCUUCGGGUUGUAAAGUACUUUCAGCGGGGAGGAAGGGGGUAAAGUUAAUACCUUGGCUCAUUGACGUUACCCGCAGAAGAAGCACCGGCUAACUCCGUG
RNAcentral lists this ribosomal RNA (490 nucleotides) under uncultured bacterium. Its description in RNAcentral is "partial 16S ribosomal RNA". It matches the Rfam family "Bacterial small subunit ribosomal RNA", at positions 30 to 507 of the family's 1533-position model. The record is from RNAcentral.